RNAcentral lists this ribosomal RNA (468 nucleotides) under uncultured bacterium. Its description in RNAcentral is "partial 16S ribosomal RNA". It matches the Rfam family "Bacterial small subunit ribosomal RNA", at positions 28 to 507 of the family's 1533-position model. The record is from RNAcentral.
GACGAACGCUGGCGGCGUGCUUAACACAUGCAAGUCGAACGGAAAGGCCCUGCUUUUGUGGGGUGCUCGAGUGGCGAACGGGUGAGUAACACGUGAGUAACCUGCCCUUGACUUUGGGAUAACUUCAGGAAACUGGGGCUAAUACCGGAUAGGAGCUCCUGCUGCAUGGGGGGGGUUGGAAAGUUUCGGCGGUUGGGGAUGGACGCGCGGCUUAUCAGCUUGUUGGUGGGGUAGUGGCUUACCAAGGCUUUGACGGGUAGCCGGCCUGAGAGGGUGACCGGCCACAUUGGGACGGAGAUACGGCCCAGACUCCUACGGGAGGAAGCAGUGGUGAAGAUUGCACAAUGGGCGGAAGCCUGAUGCAGCAACGCCGCGUGCGGGAUGACGGCCGUCGGGUUGUAAACCGCUUUCGCCUGUGACGAAGCGUGAGUGACGGUAAUGGGUAAAGAAGCACCGGCUAACUACGUG